AUUGAACGCUGGCGGCAGGCCUAACACAUGCAAGUCGAGCGAGCGGCGGACGGGUGAGUAAUGUAUGGGAAACUGCCCGAUGGAGGGGGAUAACUACUGGAAACGGUAGCUAAUACCGCAUACUAUCAGAUGUGCCCAGAUGGGAUUAGCUAGUAGGUGGGGUAACGGCUCACCUAGGCGAAGAUCCCUAGCUGGUCUGAGAGGAUGACCAGCCACACGGGAACUGAGACACGGUCCAGACUCCUACGGGAGGCAGCAGUGGGGAAUAUUGCACAAUGGGCGCAAGCCUGAUGCAGCCAUGCCGCGUGUAUGAAGAAGGCCUUCGGGUUGUAAAGUACUUUCAGCGGGGAGGCGUUACCCGCAGAAGAAGCACCGGCUAACUCCGUGCCAGCAGCCGCGGUAAUAC
This 406-nucleotide ribosomal RNA is filed under the name uncultured bacterium. RNAcentral's name for it is "partial 16S ribosomal RNA". It matches the Rfam family "Bacterial small subunit ribosomal RNA", at positions 30 to 526 of the family's 1533-position model. The record is from RNAcentral.